This 200-nucleotide ribosomal RNA is filed under the name uncultured bacterium. Its description in RNAcentral is "partial 16S ribosomal RNA". It matches the Rfam family "Bacterial small subunit ribosomal RNA", at positions 326 to 539 of the family's 1533-position model. The record is from RNAcentral.
ACGCUCGACACCUACGGAAGGCAGCAGUGGGGAAUAUUGGGCAAUGGGCGCAAGCCUGACCCAGCAACGCCGCGUGAAGGAAGAAGGCUUUCGGGUUGUAAACUUCUUUUAUUAAGGACGAAGCAAUGACGGUACUUAAUGAAUAAGCUCCGGCUAACUACGUGCCAGCAGCCGCGGUAAUCUGAGCGGGCUGGCAAGGC